Molecule: ribosomal RNA, 253 nt
Filed under: uncultured bacterium
Lineage: Bacteria
Description: partial 16S ribosomal RNA
Rfam family: Bacterial small subunit ribosomal RNA
Source: RNAcentral
UACGUAGGGUGCGAGCGUUGUCCGGAUUUAUUGGGCGUAAAGAGCUCGUAGGCGGCUUGUCGCGUCGUCCGUGAAAACUUGGGGCUCAACCCCAAGCUUGCGGUCGAUACGGGCAGGCUCGAGUUCGGUAGGGGAGACUGGAAUUCCUGGUGUAGCGGUGAAAUGCGCAGAUAUCAGGAGGAACACCGGUGGCGAAGGCGGGUCUCUGGGCCGAUACUGACACUGAGGCGCGAAAGCGUGGGGAGCGAACAGG